Long non-coding RNA from Lagopus leucura (white-tailed ptarmigan), 185 nucleotides. RefSeq lists it as uncharacterized. The transcript is spliced from 3 exons. The record is from RefSeq and is a predicted model, not a curated record. Lineage: Eukaryota; Metazoa; Chordata; Aves; Galliformes; Phasianidae.
UGUUAGUGCUGCUCCAUAUCUAGUUUUUCCUGUACCAGCAGAAGAUACGUACCAGGAGAUUAUCUUCUUUUUCUAGCUCAUUGUUCAAGUCACAUGCCCAACUUUAUGCAGUUACACAUUAAUGCCUACAUUCAGUGAAGCAGUUAAACACAUGAUCUUCUUAGCACGACUGAGGAAGGUUCCCA